Molecule: ribosomal RNA, 500 nt
Filed under: uncultured bacterium
Lineage: Bacteria
Description: bacterial SSU rRNA
Rfam family: Bacterial small subunit ribosomal RNA
Source: RNAcentral
GAUCCUGGCUUAGGAUGAACGCUGGCGGCGUAGCUUAACACAUGCAAGUCGAACGAAGCAUUUAAAUGAAGUUUCGGAUGGAAUUAAAUGACUUAGUGGCGGACGGGUGAGUAACGCGUGGGUAACCUGCCUCAUACAGGGGGAUAACAGCUGGAAACGGCUGCUAAGACCGCAUAAGCCUACAGCAUCGCAUGAUGCAGUAGGAAAUAUUUAUAGGUAUGAGAUGGACCCGCGUCUGAUUAGCUAGUUGGUGAGGUAACGGCCCACCAAGGCGACGAUCAGUAGCCGACUUGAGAGAGUGAUCGGCCACAUUGGGACUGAGACACGGCCCAAACUCCUACGGGAGGCAGCAGUGGGGAAUAUUGCACAAUGGGGGAAACCCUGAUGCAGCCGACGCCGCGUGAGUGAAGAAGUAUUUCGGUAUGUAAAGCUCUAUCAGCAAGGAAGAUAAUGACGGUACUUGACUACGAAGCCCCGGCUAACUACGUGCCAGCCGCAGC